GGUCAUUUCUAGCACAGGCAGCCUAGGCACCGGUCAGCAACAUGAACGCUGGGGUCAUUGGGAAUGAGCAGCGCAGGUUCAGCUGGCGGAAUCCUAGGGAAAAGCAAAGAACAAACGAAAGAGUUCAGGCUGGCAGACAACGCUUGCGACUGAGGAGAUGGUGGCGGCGAGGAGCAGCAGCACUGCAGUCAGGUGCUGACAGAGAUGUGUGGGCCUUGGCGUUCCUGCUCCAUCUGCAGCUGCUGUAGCAAAGCUGACCAGGAGCUGCAGCAGCUGGUGCUGUUGGCGCUGCCUGAGCACGUGGGCACUCUGGGCCCUGACUUUUGGAAGACAGCCUGGAGGGACCUGACAGAGCUGGUAGAGCCUGUCCUGCUGCAGCUCCCCCAGUGCCCAGAGCGCUACCAGAAGAAAUGAUGACAACUCCCUGACUGCAAAGAGGAGCCCCAGGAAGGAUGGUGCCCAGCCACACUGCUCAGUCUCUAAGGAGUGGAAGGGUAUAUAAAGAACUCAGCAUUAACGUGGCACAGAAAAGCAUCGAAGUGCAUCUGGGCACCCUGUCCAAACAGCUACAGUGUUCCAAGGAGCAAGCAGGGAGACUGCGGUGCCUCCCUGUCCUAAACUCACCCAGCCAGGGCAGUCCUAGUCAUUGCUGCAGCACAGGAUGAACCCCUGUCUGCAGGCAACCUCCUCAGGAAAGAAAGGCUGAGACGGUGAGGGGAUGUCAACAUCACCAAGACAUCCCAGAAUGUGCUGGUGCCAGGACCAGCACAGCUGCUGAUACUCCAGAAUGUGGAGCUGAACUGGCAGUUCAACAAGUCGGUAUUGCAGGGCCUGGGGCAGAAUACUUCUACCACUGACAAGAGCUGUGCAGGGGUCACUGGAAUGCUCCUCAGGAAGAGAGUAUACAUAGAGAUCCUGAAAGUCUCUGGUGCAACCACGACUGAGAUUCAGGGCUCUAAGGCACACAUGAGCCAGUGACUGCCCCUCCGUCCAGCCAUCGGUGAGGGGGAAGACUGAUCUGUGCCUGGAGGUAAAGCUUCAGAGAUUCCUUAGAGCAGUACGGCAGUCCACUGAACAGCUGCAGUGCCCAUGGCCACCUUGGCAUGCCAAUCUCUUCCUCAUCAACAGGAAACACCACCUGCAGCCAGCUCUAAUCACACAGCAGCAGCUUGGGGAACCCUCCACCUGCUCAGCUGCAUGUAGGGCAGCAGGAUUCAGCUCAGUGCCCAUCUGCUUCCCCAGCUGUAAGGCCACAUUCCUGCCUGUGAAGCAGUGCUGUGGAAGGAGGGCUCUGCCAGCAUCUAAGUGACUGCUCCAUCAGAAGCAGCUGGGGCUGAGGCAUGCCCCAAAGGACCUAAGGAAACAAGUGAUGGCACCAUAGGAAAAGCAGAUGAAAGAGCACCCAGAGCACCCACUUCAAAGAAAUAAAGUGACUUGUACGGAUGAGCUGGCUGAAGAGCUCUCAUAUCCUGCAUUGCCCACUGGCAGACGUAUUGGUGAUGGAGGUGUGACUUUCAGCUCUGAGAUUCACACAGAGGGUGGUGACACACUGGAACAGGUUGCCCAAGGAGGUUGUGGAUGC
Centrocercus urophasianus (Greater sage-grouse) is the source of this 1582-nucleotide long non-coding RNA. RefSeq lists it as uncharacterized. The record is from RefSeq and is a predicted model, not a curated record. NCBI's taxonomy places the organism in Eukaryota, Metazoa, Chordata, Aves, Galliformes, Phasianidae. The transcript is spliced from 3 exons.